Molecule: ribosomal RNA, 440 nt
Filed under: uncultured bacterium
Lineage: Bacteria
Description: partial 16S ribosomal RNA
Rfam family: Bacterial small subunit ribosomal RNA
Source: RNAcentral
CCUACGGGAGGCAGCAGUAGGGAAUAUUGCUCAAUGGGGGAAAGCCUGAAGCAGCAACGCCGCGUGCAGGAUGAAGGUUUUCGGAUUGUAAACUCCUUUUGUUAGAGAAGAUAAUGUGAAUAUGUAACUAAUUAGCACCGGCUAAUUCCGUGCCGGCAGCCGCGGUAAUACUGAGGGUGCAAGCGUUACUCGGAAUUACUGGGCGUAAAGAGGUCGUAUGCGGGAUAGCAAGUCAGAGGUGAAAUCCUUUGGCUUAACCAUAGAACUGCAUUUGAAACUGUUAGUCUAGAGUAUGGGAGAGGUAGGUGGAAUUCUAGGUGUAGGGGUAAAAUCCGUAGAGAUCAAGAGGAAUACUCAUGGCGAAGGCGACUUGCUAGAACAUAACUGACGCUGAUGCGCGAAAGCGUGGGGAGCAAACAGGAUUAGAUACCCCUGUAGUC